RNAcentral lists this ribosomal RNA (374 nucleotides) under uncultured bacterium. RNAcentral's name for it is "partial 16S ribosomal RNA". It matches the Rfam family "Bacterial small subunit ribosomal RNA", at positions 338 to 710 of the family's 1533-position model. The record is from RNAcentral.
CCUACGGGGGGCAGCAGUGAGGAAUAUUGGUCAAUGGCCGGAAGGCUGAACCAGCCACGCCGCGUGAAGGACGAAGGUGCCAAGCAUUGUAAACUUCUUUUGUCAAGGGACAAAAUCAGGCUCGAGAGCCUGACCGAGGGUACUUGAAGAAAAAGCAUCGGCAAACUCCGUUCCAGCAGCCGCGGUAAUACUGCGGAUGCGAGCGUUAUCCGGAUUUAUUGGGGGAAAAGGGUGCGUAGGCGGACUGUUAAGUCAGCGGUAAAAGCGCGGGGCUCAACCCCGGCGAGCCGUUGAAACUGGCUGGCUUGAGAUGUGGAGAGGUAUGCGGAAUGCGCAGUGUAGCGGUGAAAUGCGUAGAUAUUGCGCAGAACACC